RNAcentral lists this ribosomal RNA (482 nucleotides) under uncultured bacterium. Its description in RNAcentral is "partial 16S ribosomal RNA". It matches the Rfam family "Bacterial small subunit ribosomal RNA", at positions 30 to 507 of the family's 1533-position model. The record is from RNAcentral.
AUUGAACGCUGGCGGCAUGCCUUACACAUGCAAGUCGAACGGUAACAGGUCUUCGGAUGCUGACGAGUGGCGAACGGGUGAGUAAUACAUCGGAACGUGCCCGAUCGUGGGGGAUAACGGAGCGAAAGCUUUGCUAAUACCGCAUACGAUCUACGGAUGAAGGCAGGGGACCGCAAGGCCUUGCGCGGACGGAGCGGCCGAUGGCAGAUUAGGUAGUUGGUGGGAUAAAAGCUUACCAAGCCGACGAUCUGUAGCUGGUCUGAGAGGACGACCAGCCACACUGGGACUGAGACACGGCCCAGACUCCUACGGGAGGCAGCAGUGGGGAAUUUUGGACAAUGGGCGAAAGCCUGAUCCAGCCAUGCCGCGUGCAGGAUGAAGGCCUUCGGGUUGUAAACUGCUUUUGUUCGGAACGAAAAGACUCUUUCUAAUAAAGAGGGUCCAUGACGGUACCGUAAGAAUAAGCACCGGCUAACUACGUG